Callithrix jacchus (white-tufted-ear marmoset) is the source of this 107-nucleotide small nuclear RNA. NCBI's taxonomy places the organism in Eukaryota, Metazoa, Chordata, Mammalia, Primates, Cebidae. The record is from Ensembl.
GUGCUUGCUCUGACAGCACAUACACUAAGAUUGGAACGAUACAGAGAGGGUGAGCAUGGCCUCUGUGCAAGGAUAACACACGAAUUCAUGAAGUGUUCCAGAUUUUU